Molecule: long non-coding RNA, 696 nt
Organism: Zingiber officinale
Lineage: Eukaryota; Viridiplantae; Streptophyta; Magnoliopsida; Zingiberales; Zingiberaceae
Exons: 4
Source: RefSeq, a predicted model, not a curated record
UUCCGGGAGAUUGAGGGCUCCGGCGAAAACAAUCGCCAGGUCGUCGUCGACUGCAGAUUUGCUGGGCAAGGCGGUUCCACGCCUUCGGCGCGAACAAACCCUUCCUCGUCGUUAGCAAGAGAUCCCGCGACGGACUCUUCCCUUCGCCUCCCUCUUCCUCCUCCAAGUGCUGCCAAAGGGUUCCGCUUUCUGACAUCACAAACGGCUGCUCUACUCCGUCUUCUUCCGGAACCAUGAUACCAGAAAAAAGCAUUCUUGAUGACGACCUGGACGAGGCAUUUCUGCGCGAGGUGGACGCCAUAUGUGAAAAGAGGUCAACAGUGAAGAAGGAAAGGUUAGGUGAGGAGGCGGUGGAAAAUAAGGGAUGUGUAGUGGGCGGAUACAAGGACUUGGGUUCAUGUAGGCUGAGGGGUUUAUUCGGGGACGCUGACGAUGAGUCUUUGAAGCUGCAUAAGUACUGGGAUUAUUAGAAAAACGUUAAUGACGCGCAGAGAGAAGCUGCUUGCAGUGACACUUCAGUCCCAUUGAUGAUUGUUGCUGGUCCAGGAAGUGGAAAGACAUCCACAAUGGUUUGACGCGUGCUGACACUGCUCAAAUAGGGAAUUGAUCCAUCCAACAUCCUAGCAAUGACUUUCACAAUUGCUGCUGCAUCAGAGAUGAGGGAUCAAAUUGGAAUAGUAGCUAGAAAAGCAGUUG